This 783-nucleotide ribosomal RNA is filed under the name uncultured bacterium. Its description in RNAcentral is "bacterial SSU rRNA". It matches the Rfam family "Bacterial small subunit ribosomal RNA", at positions 56 to 845 of the family's 1533-position model. The record is from RNAcentral.
UGCAGUCGACGGUACAGGUCUUCGGAUGCUGACGAGUGGCGAACGGGUGAGUAAUACAUCGGAACGUGCCCAGACGUGGGGGAUAACGAGGCGAAAGCUUUGCUAAUACCGCAUACGAUCUAAGGAUGAAAGCAGGGGACCGCAAGGCCUUGCGCGUUUGGAGCGGCCGAUGGCAGAUUAGGUAGUUGGUGGGAUAAAAGCUUACCAAGCCGACGAUCUGUAGCUGGUCUGAGAGGACGACCAGCCACACUGGGACUGAGACACGGCCCAGACUCCUACGGGAGGCAGCAGUGGGGAAUUUUGGACAAUGGGCGAAAGCCUGAUCCAGCAAUGCCGCGUGCAGGACGAAGGCCUUCGGGUUGUAAACUGCUUUUGUACGGAACGAAAAGACACUGGCUAAUACCUGGUGUUGAUGACGGUACCGUAAGAAUAAGCACCGGCUAACUACGUGCCAGCAGCCGCGGUAAUACGUAGGGUGCGAGCGUUAAUCGGAAUUACUGGGCGUAAAGCGUGCGCAGGCGGUUUUGUAAGACAGAGGUGAAAUCCCCGGGCUCAACCUGGGAACUGCCUUUGUGACUGCAAGGCUAGAGUGCGGCAGAAGGGGAUGGAAUUCCGCGUGUAGCAGUGAAAUGCGUAGAUAUGCGGAGGAACACCGAUGGCGAAGGCAAUCCCCUGGGCCUGCACUGACGCUCAUGCACGAAAGCGUGGGGAGCAAACAGGAUAGAUACCCUGGUAGUCACGCCCUAACGAUGUCACUGGUUGUUGGUCUUACUGACUCAUACG